This 253-nucleotide ribosomal RNA is filed under the name uncultured bacterium. RNAcentral's name for it is "partial 16S ribosomal RNA". It matches the Rfam family "Bacterial small subunit ribosomal RNA", at positions 524 to 776 of the family's 1533-position model. The record is from RNAcentral.
UACAGAGGUCCCAAGCGUUGUUCGGAUUCACUGGGCGUAAAGGGUGCGUAGGCGGUCGGGUAAGUCUGAUGUGAAAUCUCACAGCUUAACUGUGAAACUGCAUUGGAUACUAUUCGGCUUGAGAGCUGGAGGGGGGACUGGAAUUCUUGGUGUAGCAGUGAAAUGCGUAGAUAUCAAGAGGAACACCAGUGGCGAAGGCGAGUCCCUGGACAACUUCUGACGCUGAGGCACGAAAGCUAGGGGAGCAAACAGG